Molecule: ribosomal RNA, 496 nt
Filed under: Bombus vagans
Lineage: Eukaryota; Metazoa; Arthropoda; Insecta; Hymenoptera; Apidae
Description: partial 16S ribosomal RNA
Rfam family: Bacterial large subunit ribosomal RNA (bases 373-496)
Source: RNAcentral
GGCUUAAUGAUAUUAAUUUUAGGUCUAUCUGCCCAAUGAUUUUAAAUUAAAUGGCUGCAGUAUAAUUGACUGUACAAAGGUAGCAUAAUAAAUUGUUUUUUAAUUAAAAACUAGAAUGAAAGAAUUAAUGAGAUAUAUACUGUCUCAUAUAUAUUUGAUUAAUUUAAAUUUUUAGUAAAAAUGCUAAAAUAAAUUUAUGGGACGAUAAGACCCUAUAGAAUUUUAUAUUAAUAUAUAAAUUAAAUUAUUUUAGAUAUUAAUAUUUAAUUGGGAGGAUUAAUAAAUUUAUUAAACUUUAUUUUAAAUAUAAACUUUGAUUAAAGAAUUUAUAAUGAUUAUGUAUUAUGAAUUAUGAGAAUAAAUUACCUUAGGGAUAACAGCGUAAUAUCUUUUUAAAGAUCAAAUUAAUAAAGAUGAUUGCGACCUCGAUGUUGAAUUAAGAUAAAUUUUAAAUGCAGAAGUUUAAUAAUUAAGUCUGUUCGACUUUUAAAAUCUU